ACAUAUUAAUACAUAAAUUGUAUUAAUUAAAAAAAAUAAAUAAAUACAUUCAUGAAAUAUAGCGAGAUGGUGAAUACAAUGAAUACAUGUAAUACAGCAAGAUAUAUUAAAACACAGUAGAAAAAAAUAUAAAUACAAAUAAAUACAUAGAAUACAACGAGAUACAUAAAAAUAAAAUAAAAAAAAGGUAACAGACUCUUCAAAUUGAUCAGCCCCAAAACAUUGUCGUCUUUGUUUAAGAUUAACCCUCAUGUCAUUUCAUCGAUAACAGAUUUUGAACCUCCAUUGUCUACCCAAUUUACCCUAGUAAACAAAAGGGAAGAAGGGAACAACAUAUUGCGGUCUACAAGAAUAGUAAGAGGCCAUAAGCGGAAAACCUAUCAAACGCCUUUGAGUUUGUCUCUCACAGUACCCGUGGUUUCCAUUGGAGCAAAUUAUUCAUGGAAAAUGAGAAAAGGGAAUGUUGCAAACAAUCGUUGUUUUAAUGGUUGCUGAGUCAAUCCAUGUUGUAAUGGUUGUGUAGAAGCUUGCAGACUCUCGUUUGGGUCACUGUCACUAGGCCUAAUAGGUGGAUCAGCAUCAAAAUCUGUUAUAAAUGGCGACUCCGACACUAUAGUUGUAUCUGGCAGUACCGUGAUUUGUGGCGUUGGUUGAGAGAGAGGGUAAAAAGAAAUUGAAAAGGAUGAGAGAAAAAAUAAUAUAAAACUUAUUUUAUAGCUUAAGGGUAGGAG
Molecule: long non-coding RNA, 731 nt
Filed under: Nicotiana benthamiana
Lineage: Eukaryota; Viridiplantae; Streptophyta; Magnoliopsida; Solanales; Solanaceae
Description: long non-coding RNA (NBEN_LNC040119)
Source: RNAcentral